GCACAGCUGAGGAGUCCCAUAAUAGGACGAUACGGCCAUCCAGUGC
Schistosoma mansoni is the source of this 46-nucleotide non-coding RNA. Lineage: Eukaryota; Metazoa; Platyhelminthes; Trematoda; Strigeidida; Schistosomatidae. The record is from Rfam.